Drosophila melanogaster (fruit fly) is the source of this 990-nucleotide non-coding RNA. The record is from Ensembl. Lineage: Eukaryota; Metazoa; Arthropoda; Insecta; Diptera; Drosophilidae.
CGUAGCAGGGCAUACGGGCUUAGACAACCAACUUUAUACAUCGAUUUCCACCAUUCUUUUUCUGGUGCAGCUGAAAAAUAACCGUGCGCAGCACAGGGCACAAAUAAAAUGAACACACGCUCAUUUGUUAGGGGUUGCUUUUUUCUGCACCGACUGGCAUUUUCGGUGCCUUAACGCCACAAAAUAGGGGAGCCGAAGUUAAAGUCACUACCAAAGAUACAGAAGACCGAUAUGGGUAAAGAUGCUAAGAUACAGAUACCGCGGCAACGGCGCAUUGAACUUUGCUCAACCCAAAGGUUCAGCUCCAGUUCGUCAUGCAAACAAAGAUGUUGGGAUCGUGGGCCAUUUUGAUUUGGCUUCCCUGCUUGGACCAACAAUUGGGUCUCGUCUUUUUGCGGUCUCAAACUGGAUGAUCAUGAACCCUGGAAUAAUGAUAAUCAUGAUCACAACACGAUCCGGAGGGAAUAAGAGGGCGCUGAACAAAAAGGCAGUAGCACGCACCAUUAGAUGCGGUCAACAUAAAAACAUCUGCUCUUCGGUGGACUCCGUUUCAGGUCAAAUAAUAUAUAUAUGUAUAAAACACACAUACAGAGAGAAUCAACGGGUAUCCGAUAGCCAAGGAACUCGACUAUAGCGACAUCUUCUAUGGUUCCAUGGUCUGGUUUCACAUCCCAGAUCAAGAUCCCCACAACAUAUCCCAAUGUAAAUUGUGCCAAUUGGUCGGCAUAUUUAUGGCCUACACAGUUGGGCCUCAGUUAACUUUAAUCAAUUUUUUGUGCUACGCUUUCACGAACUGCGGGGCCGUACAUCGCAGCUUAAUCCGAGACUAGUGCAUAUAACGUUUAAUUUAAAAACGCAUAAAAUUUUGUAACAAUGUCGCAGAUGAUCUGCACCAUUUACUUUAUUGCCGUUCGGCAACCCUGACCAUGUUUGGCUUCCUGAACUUUUUCCGAAACAGUUUAAACUUUACGGGGAAUCCAACGGGGACUC